GUGUGCUGACAACGGGGGGCCUGCUUGGGAUUCUCUCUCUCCGCCCCUCGCCCCCUCAAAAUAAAUAAAUAUUUUUUUAAAAUCUCAUAUCCCAGCCAUGGGCUUGGGACAAACCUCGGGGCCUCAGACACCUGGCCUCAGUGUUGCAGGACACUGGGCACGAGGGGGAGGGGCAGCCGCGGCCUGCAGAGAGGGCCGAAGCGGCCACCACGCCUGGGUCCCGUGGCCUGGGGCAGCCACUGCCGAGGCCUGUGGGUGCCCGGGGAAGCCUGAGUCUCAUCGUCAGAGGUGUAGCGUGCGUGCUUGUGAGGGGGCAGGGCCCAGCUGCGGGGUCCCUGGACUCACAUCUCGGAAGCCACGCUGCAGGGCACUGCUCGGGCGGAGCAGGGCCGAGACCCUGGGAGCCCUGAUCCCUCCUGCCGGGAGGGACCUGCUCCUGGGCCAGAGGAAGGACGGGCGAGGGCGUUGGGGCCAGAGGCUUAGGCCAGCUCUUCCCAGACUGGCCUGAGCUAGUGCACGAGCUGCUGCUGACGUGAACCCAAAGUCCCCCGGGCCAGUCAUUGCCUUCCCAGAAUCCUCGGCCGAGGAAGCAGGCGGAGGCGGGUGCUCAGCGAUCCGCGAGCAAAGCGCCCCUCGACGCUCGUGGGCAGCGCAGAAAAGCAGCUGCGUCUGUGUGCUGAGCGAUAGGGAGCACGGCACUUCCGUGUAACAAGAUUGGGUAAACAUUAAAAUAUUAAGAUAUGUCAAUUAUCAGAAUGCCCACAGAACAUUCGGUGACAAAGCCCGUGGAUACUCUGAGGUGUCUAUUGUAUGCCACGCGGCAUCUUAGGCUGCGGACAGGCACGUGCCCCUUUCGCGGGACGUGUCCCCUCGGACAAGCGUCAUCCAGGACAAAAGACCUUUGGUCGGUCCAGAAUGGGUCGGGGACCUGGAGCCGUCCCCAGCCAGGCAUCGAGUGUCAGGGAACAUUGGAGGACAAGAGAGAGCACUUUGGAGGUGGCUUUGGACGCAGGUGGGAGAGGAGCCAGAGAGAAGGGACCGUGCAGCGAAGGGGCUCCAGCAAGAACCCCGGGGGAGCUCCUGACUCCUCGUUGCCCUGGUCAGUUCUUGGUCAGCGAACGGAAGGCAAAGCAUGACCCUGACUGACCUCACUCCCCACAGGUGUGCCAGGGCCUCUGGGCCAAAGCAGAUGGGCCUGGGGACCAGCCCAGUGUGAAGGCGGUGGCAGCGGGGAAGGUGCCCUGAUUUCUGGCCUGUAUGGCAGAAUGGGGGAGUCCCCGUGGUUAAAAUGCGCAAGGUCGAGGAUGGGACUUAGACGGGACAGAGGUCGGGAAGACGUCGGGGAGCCCGAACGACCGCUGCCCCAGGGAGGCCGGGCCCCAAUCCCAACAACCCGCGAUCUUACCCCGUCGGGAAGAAUGUGCACGUGUGGCUAAGGAGAGAGGCCGAGGGAGCCUUGAUUCAGACAGAAGACAGGCAGAGAUGGGAGCGGAAGGAGCCAGCAGCCUCCGGGAGCUGGAAGACGCAAGGGGCAGGUCAUUUCCCGCAGCUUCCAGAGGGGCGGCCUCGCGGAUACUGUGACCUCAGCCCAGUGACGCUGAUUUUGGAUUCUGGCCUCCAGGUUUUUCCACGAUUGAGCUUGUUGUGGAUUCACGGGCAGCUGUGAGAAGUAACACGGUCUCCCCCAACGGCAGCAUCUCACACAGCGCCACUGGCGGGGGCUCCCCAGCGACGGAGCUUGGGCACAGAGCGUUCCCACCACCGAGAGUCUCCCACCUGCCGUCCUGUGCCGCCACAGUGCUCUCCCGCCUCCACCCCACCCUGACCCUGGGGACCACGAACGUGGUACCUGUUUCUAUAGCUUUGUCAUUUUGAGAAUGCCAUACAAACGGAAUCCUCUGGUGUGUAAACUUGUGUUGUUGUUGUUGUUGUUGUUUUUUCACUUAGCAGAAUGUUCUGGAAGUCCAUCCAGGAUGUUGCAUGUAUGGACAGUCCCUUCCAUUCCACUGCUAAGCAGCGUCCGUGUGUGGAUGGGCUCCAGCUGGUCUGAGCACCUGCCCGUUGAAGGACAUCUGGGCUGUUUCCUAUUUGGGGUUAUUAUGAAUAAAGCUGCCAUAAACAUUUGUGUACAGGUUUUUGCAUGAAUGCAAGUUUCUGUUCUCUGAGAUAAUGCCCAGGGGUGCAACUGCCAGGCUGUUUAGUGCUGCGUGUUUAGUUUUUAAAGAAACCGCCAAACCGUUUUCCAAAGUGGCUGCACCAUUUUGUAUUCCUGCCAGCCCCACCUGAGGGAUCCAGCGUCCCCCUAUCUGCAUCGGCAUUUGGUGGCGUCACUAUUUUUCAUUGUAGCCAUUUCGAUGGGAGUGUAAUGGGGUCUCAUUGCGAUUUUAAUCUGUGCUUCUUCAACGAAUAAGUAUGUUUUUGUCUUUUAUGUGAUUAAUUGCCAGCUGUAAACGCUCAGCUGACAUGUUUCUUCGUGUUGUCAGUCAUCCCCUAAUUAGAUAUUUGUGUUCUUACUGUUGAGUUUGAGAGUUCUUUAUGUAGCCUAGUUACUAGUCCUCUGUCAGAUUUUCAAUUUACAAAUAUUUUCUCCUAGUCUGUAGCUUAUCUUUACAUCUUCUGCCCAGGAUCUUUUGUGAAGCAAAAAUUUAUGUUCACACAAAAACCUGUACCCAAAUGUUUGUAGCGGCUUAAUUCAUGAAAUGGCCCCAAACAGGAAACUGCCCGAUGUUUUUCGACAGGUAGGCACUUAAACAAAGUGUUCCAUUUUUUUGACUUUUUGUCAAGCCAGUGACAUCUGUUGCCUACCACCUGCUCAGAAGUCUGAGCAUUUCUGCCCCCUGCAUCAUGGUAUCGGAGGUGCCAGGGAAAACACAACACAGACAAGCAAUGGGUGAAACAAUGCUUUCCUCGCACAGAGACGAGACUUGGCAAAAGCUGCUUCCAUAGUGGGCAUCGGCACGCCCAUGGCCAGCGGGCUCCUCAUGGCAGUUGGUGCAGGGCCGUGGCCUGCAUGCACUUAUCUUGUGCUGCAUCAGGUGGACCCUGUCCCCUCCCUGCAGGUGACAGAGAUAGCAGUGGGCUUGGCCAGGUGCUGUAUGGCGCACACACCUAAGCAGAACAGAGGAGGGCACAUCGCAUCUGAAACAAGGAAAGAUAUCCACAUGAGGUGACAAGUCCAGCACAGGCUUUGUGGUACCUUUCCAUCUUGAUAAGGAAAUGUUCCAGGCCCAGUGCUCCUUCCUAUGCAGCCGAGUGUGGGGAUCAGAAGACUGCAAGCAGGAGACUGUCUUUCCCAACAUAUUUUGACUAAACCCAGUUUACCCGUGUUUCCUUUUAUGGAUUGUGCUUUUGUGUCAAGUCUAAGAAUUCCUAUGUUGUUUCUUUUUCUAAAAAUUUUGUACUUUUACAUUCCACACGAAGUCCAUGAUACAUUUUGAAUUAGUUUUUGUAUAAGGUAUAAGUCUUAGGUGGACGUUCGUGUUUUUGCCUAUGAAAAAGCAUUCUCUAUGCAUUUAAUGCUAUGCCUUUUCCUCUCAGCACUGCAUUAGCUGUAUCCCAAAAUUUUGAUAUGUUGUCUUUUUGUCUUAAUUCAGUUCAUUUUUUUUUUUAUUUCACUCAAGACUUCUUUGACUUGUGGGAUUAUUUUGUUUAGUUUCCAAGUGUUUGAAGAUCUUUCUGUUAUUGGACACUAGUUGGAUUCCAUUGUGGUCAGACUAUGCACUCUGUCUGAUUUUGAUUAUUUUAAAUUUGUUGAGAAUGUUUUAUGUCCUAGAUUAUAUGGCCUAUAUUGGCAUAUGUUUCAUGGAUAUUUGGAAAGAAUGUGUAUAAUGCCAUUGUUGCAUGGAAUGUUCUAUAAAUGUUAGUGAGACCCUAAUUGGAUUGAA
Molecule: long non-coding RNA, 3884 nt
Organism: Leopardus geoffroyi (Geoffroy's cat)
Lineage: Eukaryota; Metazoa; Chordata; Mammalia; Carnivora; Felidae
Exons: 3
Source: RefSeq, a predicted model, not a curated record